This 383-nucleotide ribosomal RNA is filed under the name uncultured eukaryote. RNAcentral's name for it is "partial 18S ribosomal RNA". It matches the Rfam family "Eukaryotic small subunit ribosomal RNA", at positions 592 to 976 of the family's 1831-position model. The record is from RNAcentral.
CAAUAGCGUAUAUUAAAGUUGUUGCAGUCAAAAAGCUCGUAGUUGGAUUUCUGGUGGGAGCGAUCGGUCUGGCGCUUAGCGCGAGUACUUGCAUCGUCUCCGGCCAUCCUUGGGGAGAGUCUGUCUGGCAUUAGGUUGUCGGGCAGAGGAUCCUCAUCGUUUACUGUGAAAAAAUUAGAGUGUUCAAAGCAGGCUUAUGCCGUUGAAUAUAUUAGCAUGGAAUAAUAAGAUAGGACUUUGGUACUAUUUUGUUGGUUUGCGCACCAAAGUAAUGAUUAAUAGGGACAGUUGGGGGUAUUCGUAUUCCGUUGUCAGAGGUGAAAUUCUUGGAUUUACGGAAGACGAACUACUGCGAAAGCAUUUACCAAGGAUGUUUUCAUUAA